This 253-nucleotide unclassified non-coding RNA is filed under the name uncultured Acidobacteriota bacterium. RNAcentral describes it as "uncultured Acidobacteria bacterium contains 16S-23S intergenic spacer region". It matches the Rfam family "Bacterial small subunit ribosomal RNA", at positions 524 to 776 of the family's 1533-position model. The record is from RNAcentral. Lineage: Bacteria; Pseudomonadati; Acidobacteriota.
UACGAACUGCACAAACGUUAUUCGGAAUUACUGGGCGUAAAGGGCGCGUAGGCGGCCUGUUAAGUCGAACGUGAAAUCCCCGGGCUCAACCCGGGAACUGCGUCCGAGACUGGCAGGCUCGAAUCCGGGAGAGGGAUGUGGAAUUCCAGGUGUAGCGGUGAAAUGCGUAGAUAUCUGGAGGAACACCGGUGGCGAAGGCGGCAUCCUGGACCGGCAUUGACGCUGAGGCGCGAAAGCCAGGGGAGCAAACGGG